This 65-nucleotide transfer RNA is filed under the name Alticola olchonensis (Lake Baikal mountain vole). RNAcentral's name for it is "tRNA-Tyr". It matches the Rfam family "tRNA". From Rfam's summary of the family: Transfer RNA (tRNA) molecules are approximately 80 nucleotides in length. Their secondary structure includes four short double-helical elements and three loops (D, anti-codon, and T loops). Further hydrogen bonds mediate the characteristic L-shaped molecular structure. tRNAs have two regions of fundamental functional importance: the anti-codon, which is responsible for specific mRNA codon recognition, and the 3' end, to which the tRNAs corresponding amino acid is attached (by aminoacyl-tRNA synthetases). tRNAs cope with the degeneracy of the genetic code in two manners: having more than one tRNA (with a specific anti-codon) for a particular amino acid; and 'wobble' base-pairing, i.e. permitting non-standard base-pairing at the 3rd anti-codon position. Lineage: Eukaryota; Metazoa; Chordata; Mammalia; Rodentia; Cricetidae. The record is from RNAcentral.
GUAAAAUGGCUGAGCAAAGCAUUAGACUGUAAAUCUAAGCACAGAGGAUGGGCCUCUUUUUACCA